Molecule: ribosomal RNA, 411 nt
Filed under: uncultured bacterium
Lineage: Bacteria
Description: bacterial SSU rRNA
Rfam family: Bacterial small subunit ribosomal RNA
Source: RNAcentral
GAGUUUGAUCAUGGCUCAGAUUGAACGCUGGCGGCAUGCUUUACACAUGCAAGUCGAACGGCAGCAUAGAGAGCUUGCUCUCUGAUGGCGAGUGGCGAACGGGUGAGUAAUACAUCGGAACGUGUCCGUUUGUGGGGGACAACCACCCGAAAGGGUGGCUAAUACCGCAUAAGACCUGAGGGUGAAAGCCGGGGACCGCAAGGCCUGGCGCGAACGGAGCGGCCGAUGACUGAUUAGCUGGUUGGCGGGUAAAGGCCCACCAAGGCGACGAUCAGUAGCUGGUCUGAGAGGACGACCAGCCACACUGGAACUGAGACACGGUCCAGACUCCUACGGGAGGCAGCAGUGGGGAAUUUUGGACAAUGGGGGCAACCCUGAUCCAGCCAUGCCGCGUGCGGGAAGAAGGCCUUC